RNAcentral lists this ribosomal RNA (301 nucleotides) under uncultured bacterium. RNAcentral's name for it is "partial 16S ribosomal RNA". It matches the Rfam family "Bacterial small subunit ribosomal RNA", at positions 509 to 808 of the family's 1533-position model. The record is from RNAcentral.
CAGUAGCCGCGGUAAUACGUAGGUCCCGAGCGUUGUCCGGAUUUAUUGGGCGUAAAGGGAGCGCAGGCGGUUUAGUAAGUCUGAAGUUAAAGGCAUUGGCUCAACCAAUGUAUGCUUUGGAAACUGUUAGACUUGAGUGCAGAAGGGGAGAGUGGAAUUCCAUGUGUAGCGGUGAAAUGCGUAGAUAUAUGGAGGAACACCGGUGGCGAAAGCGGCUCUCUGGUCUGUCACUGACGCUGAGGCUCGAAAGCGUGGGUAGCGAACAGGAUUAGAUACCCGAGUAGUCCCUGUCUCUUAUACA